CAUUGCCGCCGACCAAUUGACUCGGUGUCCCGUGAACAUGUCCCUUAUAUGCUAAAGUGGGAGGAAGCGACACUUCCGCCCAUGCCCCAAGCCACGUGUGUCUUGCGGGAACCAACGAACCCCCGGCGCGGAUUGCGUCAAGGAGCACGGAGGAUGUUGAUGGAGGUGCAUGUAAUCCCAUCGCAUAUGGGGUGCGUUUGCCUCCAUCCUUUCACCUAAAAGGGAGAUGACUCUCGGCAACGGAUAUCUAGGCUCUCGCAUCGAUGAAGAACGUAGCGAAAUGCGAUAUAUGGUGUGAAUUGCAGAAUCCCGUGAACCAUCGAGUCUUUGAACGCAAGUUGCGCCUGAGGUCGUGAGGCCGAGGGCACGCCUUCCUGGGCGUCUAUUGUACCAUCGUUGCCCCCCCCGCUUACGUGCGGCGGCAACGGAAUAUGGCCUUCCGCGUUUUGACGCGGUGGCCGAAUGUCGUUUUUGGGGCUAUGCCUCCGCGUCAUGCCUGGUGGUGAGUUUUCCAUCGGCCCCUCAAAGUCGUGACGUGGGCGCCCCCUGCUUGCUCUGCCCAUGCUCUGCAACAGUAGCGACCCCAGGUAAGAC
Molecule: ribosomal RNA, 594 nt
Filed under: Hydrilla verticillata (hydrilla)
Lineage: Eukaryota; Viridiplantae; Streptophyta; Magnoliopsida; Alismatales; Hydrocharitaceae
Description: eukaryotic LSU rRNA
Rfam family: 5.8S ribosomal RNA (bases 229-384)
Source: RNAcentral